GAUGAAGAACGCAGCGAAAUGCGAUAAGUAAUGUGAAUUGCAGAAUUCAGUGAAUCAUCGAAUCUUUGAACGCACAUUGCGCCCGCCAGUAUUCUGGCGGGCAUGCCUGUUCGAGCGUCAUUUCAACCAUCAAGCCCCCGGCUUGUGUUGGGGACCUGCGGCUGCCGCAGGCCCUGAAAAGCAGUGGCGGGCUCGCUGUCACACCGAGCGUAGUAGCAUACAUCUCGCUCUGGGCGUGCUGCGGGUUCCGGCCGUUAAACCACCUUCAUAACCCAAGGUUGACCUCGGAUCAGGUCGGAAGACCCGCUGAACUUAAGCAUAUCAAUAAGCGGAGGA
RNAcentral lists this unclassified non-coding RNA (336 nucleotides) under soil metagenome. Its description in RNAcentral is "partial contains 5.8S ribosomal RNA, internal transcribed spacer 2, and large subunit ribosomal RNA". The stretch from base 1 to 120 matches the Rfam family "5.8S ribosomal RNA", at positions 35 to 154 of the family's 154-position model. The record is from RNAcentral.